This 772-nucleotide ribosomal RNA is filed under the name uncultured Neocallimastigales. RNAcentral's name for it is "partial large subunit ribosomal RNA". It matches the Rfam family "Eukaryotic large subunit ribosomal RNA", at positions 22 to 664 of the family's 3401-position model. Lineage: Eukaryota; Fungi; Neocallimastigomycota; Neocallimastigomycetes; Neocallimastigales. The record is from RNAcentral.
GUACACGCUGUGACUAGCAUAUCAAUAAGCGGAGGAAAAGAAACUAACAAGGAUUCCCUUAGUAACGGCGAGUGAAGCGGGAAGAGCUCAAAUUUGAAAUCUUCAAGGUUUUACCUUGACGAAUUGUAGUUUAAAGAAGUGUUUUCUGUUGAAGUUUUGGUAAAAGUUCUUUGGAAUAGGACAUCAUAGAGGGUGAGAAUCCCGUAUUUGACCAUUAUUUUCAGCUGUGUGAUACACUUUCAAAGAGUCGGAUUGUUUGGGAAUGCAGUCCAAAAUGGGUGGUAAAUUUCAUUCUAAGGCUAAAUAUUGGCGAGAGACCGAUAGCGAACAAGUACCGUGAGGGAAAGAUGAAAAGAACUUUGAAAAGAGAGUUAAAUAGUACGUGAAAUUGUCAAAAGGGAAGCGUUUAACACCUAGUGUUGUUUUCUGAAAAUCAACCUCUGUUAGCUUUAUGCAUGUUUGUUUAGACCUAAUCAGCUAUCUUGCAUGUUCUAUUGUUUGCAGUGGUGCACUUUUCAGUUUACAGGUCAACAUCAGUUUUUUUUACCGUAAAAAAGUUAAAGAAAGGUAGCUCAUGGCUCCGGUCGUGAGUGUUAUAGUCUUUUUCCUAUGCGGUAGGAGAGACUGAGGUCUGCAGUGUAGGCUAUUUGGCUAGAUACUCAGGUGCUAUGUGAUACCAUUUCAUAAACAACUUGUUGAUUAUGUUUUGUCUAUUGCAUACUCGCUUGUACUAUCAUACCUACGCUUAGGAUGUUGAACUACUGAGACAUAG